GGGUGAGCAAGAGUCCAACCAAGUUGUGAAUUGGAAUCGGAACGCUGCGCUCCUCUCCUCGCCGCCCCCACCCCCCCGCCCGCCACUGCCUGGAAGUUGUGGCGGGGGGAGCUAAGGAAAAGUGCCAGACAGGAGCUGGAUUAGGACCCACACGAUGGAAAAACCCCAUUGCGGGAGCUUCCCGAAUUGCGGGAGCUAUUUUUCUGAUGAUCGGAAUAAGCAGGUUGGUUGCCCGACGACCCGCAGUCUCUUUCAGUCUGUCAGAUUCCCAAAGUAGAGGAUCUUUGAAAUAAUUCAACAUUACAAAUAAAAAAUGACAAGCAGAAAGUCAAAAUGAAAUAAAGAGCCAGCAUUAAAUCAAGACAGUUGGCCAGACCCUGAAAGCUUCAUGCAGGUAAUUUUCAAUUCAGAUAGACUACAACGGUCCACAGAUGAGGAGCAGCAUUGACAAGUACACCAAAGUUAGUGUCAGGGCAGAGCGUGAAAUGUACAUCAUCAUCUUCUUGAAGGGUGGAUUGGAUGCCAAGCAUAUUGUUACAGUUGCUUAAGAACGGCAUCCUGGACUUCAUGGAAAGGGAAUGACGAUAAUAGCUCCAGCUAAACUCAAGAAUGCCCUUGCAAGUUCUUCUGCAAAAAAUGUCUGACUUGGCCCCAACUAAGGUAUGUUCACACAGGCACAAAGCAUCGAAGUAGCCAUCAUUGCUGCUGGACUGGGGUUGUUUCCCUUCAUAAGAAUGUAAGAAGAGCCCUGAUGAUUGAGACAAAAGGUUCACGGAGUCUAGCAUCUCUUUCCCACCAUGGCAGCCCUUCCAUGAGGCAAGGUAAGGCAGUUGUGCCUCAAGCAGUUAAUUAUUGCCACUCCCCCCCAAAAAAGAGACUCUAGAACGACUAGUUUGGGGAAGCAAAGAUUAGGGGAGUGAGGAUCUUACUAAACAUGACAUAUGUCUAGAGGUAAGUUUCUUUGCCUUAUGAAAGAACCUUGACAGACAUUUUCAAAUUUAAUUCAGAAAAUGGGCCAGAUUCUUCUUUUUGUCUUUCCGGAUUCGGCCAAACCUUCUAGUCUGCUUUCCAGGCUAGUUUUUUCUUUCUGUCCAAGCCCGUGCGGCAGGAAACCUGAAAGCGCUAUACAAAUGUGAAGUAUUAUUAUGAUCAUGUAGGAAGGAGGUCUGUCACUUAGAGAAUUCCAUUCAUUCAUUCAUUCACUCACUCUGUUCAUUUGUUGGUUUGUUUUAAAUGUAUAUACUGCCCAUCCCAGAAUGGCUCAGGGCAGUUCACAUAAUAUCAAGUAGUGUUCUAGCUUUUGCCAUGCAAACUGUGGCAUCUAAAGGAAAUUCACAGAGUCAGAAAACCCCAGGAGCUAGAACAGUUUGAAGACAUAAUUAUUUUCUUGUUAACAAUUUCUGAGCAUGAUGAUACAAAUCUGAUUAAGAAUUUGUGUUUCAACAGACCAUGCACCUCUAAAAUAAGCAGGAUCAAAAUGUGAGCUCCCAGACUUUUCAAAUGUUGAGGUUUGGAGGUGUGGCUUUCAUCAGCCUCCGGAAAGCAGUUUGUUUUAACCCAAACAUAGUGGUGAGUCAGCUCUGAACUGAUUCUAUUUCUCUGUCAGCCUCAUGUGCUGACAAUCAAAAAGGCUUCCUAGAUUCCACAUGCAUGCCAUUAUGAUCAAAUGGAAUCUUUCCCAUGGGGAUUUUAUGAUCCAUGGUCAGGUGGGUGCUCCAGGAAAUUCUUGUUCAGCAUUCUUGUGUGCUGUCUCCAUAUGUCAGCCUCUUGGGGGACUUCCCAGCUGCUGCUAACUUUUAAAAAUAUGGCACCAUGUAAGCGCUUGGAUAUUUUAUGCAAGACUUUUUGAAAUUUGGUGGUUAUGUCUCACAACUGCAGUAAUGCUGCAGACAGACUUACUCUGAAGUGUUUCUCAUUGGUGUGACUCUUGAGAUCAUUUACUUUUCGUGUUUCCAGACAGCAAUAAAAAUGCUUUCCCAAGCAUUUUCAAGCAUGCUUUUACUUGUUUUCCCCACACACCAGCUUCUGUUGUCCGAGACUGCAUCAAUUGACA
Long non-coding RNA from Hemicordylus capensis (graceful crag lizard), 2053 nucleotides. RefSeq lists it as uncharacterized. NCBI's taxonomy places the organism in Eukaryota, Metazoa, Chordata, Lepidosauria, Squamata, Cordylidae. The record is from RefSeq and is a predicted model, not a curated record. The transcript is spliced from 4 exons.